GGACAUACUAUACAAGAAGGUAUGAGACAACAUUUCUAAUUAUACACCCUGCCCUAGGAAAAUAUCUCAACACAGUUUUGAGUUCAACCUGACAUUUUACCCAAGAAGGAAAAAGGAAAAUAAGAGAAGAAACCUGAUUAUUUUGGAAAAGAAAACCUGAUAUUGUCUGCAGUAGUUAGCAUUUCUCAACAAAAAAAAAAGUUAGUUUAUUCUCAUAAUAACCCUGAGAAAACAUUAAACAAAUCGAUACUGCAUACCUAAAAUUAGUCCACUUGGUGGCCAAAACAUUAGUUAUCUCCGUUUGACCUGCAGAUAACAGAUUCAAAUUGGCAAGGGUAAUGAAAGUUUUACAAGCACAGAUAUCAAUGACAAGCAAUAUCACGGUAAGCUGGACCAUGAGAUACCCAAAUCAUGCAAACUUCUCAGCAUCUGCACAGAGGGUUCGACUGAGAGACAUCCAAUUGAAAGUCUAAUUCCAACCUCUGGAUCACGAGAGAUACCAAUUUAGAGCCUUCGCAGCUCUGCCAAAACUUCCUUGUCACCUCCUAGAAUGCACCCAUUCUUGCAGAAAGACUUGUCUAUACAAUUCAACCGCGCAUUAGACCCUCAUGUCAAUAUUAAGCAUCUUUUUCCAAGGAAAUAACACGUGGACUAAACUCAGGGGCCGGGAAAAAUCUCUCCUAUCAUCUUCAAACCUGUCUAUGUGGCACAUAGCCAGCCCCAACCUGAAUAAAGGAUAAGUACUGAGUAGAUUGAUGGCCUACAAGGAUUCCCCUGAAUACUGCAUUCGGCUCUUGAAGUAGGCCUAAACAGAGUGGAAUGGUGGAUGACUUAUAUAAUCGACAACGACCAUUCUAAGAGGCAUAAUUGAUAUCAUCCUCAACCGGAAAUUAGGUUCUUCAAGAAUGAGUCAGGAGAAGUAGUCUCAAAUAUAAAGAAAAUUCCUUAAUGUCACUAAACCAGUAAUAAUAUAAGACAUUCCACUCAUGUGCAAAGUUCGAUGUAUCACUGACUAGGAGAGAUUGUCAAAGAUUUAGGCCAUAGCUAAUCUACUAACAUUAUUCAAUAGAUCCCAUCCUGUCACAACCAUGCUUAAAAGGCUUAAUCCUGUUUCAGUUUCUAACCACUAAUUUCUUUUUUCUACCAUGUUUUUUUUUUUGGAGAAUGGUAAUGAUUUCUUCUACCAUGGUUCCAUUCUGAAAUUAAUUCAAAAAGUUUUUUAUGAUGCAUUUAUAAUAGCCUAUGCGUUGCAAAUAAAGAACAUCCUAUGCCCGAUUGACUACUAUACUGGGAGAUAAGACUGAUAUUGAAAGAGGUUUUCCUAUAUGGUUGUGAGAUCAUUUUGAUUUAGUGUUAUAAAUCAAAUGUGUUGGAAUAUUGAAAGGAUGGGAGACAGGAAAUACAAAAGAACAUACUUGCAGUUAUAUACCCCAAUACUACACUCUGAACAACAAUGAUGCACAUUAUGCACUACAUCAGCCUACAUGUUUUCACAGGGCUAAGUCAUAUUCCACUCCUAAACAGUUCAGUCAUUACAUGAUGCCACAAGCUUGUCAUAUGACUCAUAUACCAUGGAAGGCCUGUAGAAUAUAGAUUAAUCAAGCUAUCUGGUCAAACAUAAACUACAAGUACCUCCUAGUCAAACCGGCCGAUCCUUUUGCAUGAUAUCUCAUCCACUCAAAACAACUACAUACAGAUCGAGCAACCGAGCAGGCAGAAAGCAACACCCUCAUUAAAGUUAAAUGACCUAAAUCUUCAGAGAAAUUAAAUUUAAGCCAAAGAUGAACAUUAGUGAUCUAGUGCUUUAUCUCAACCAUCUUGAUGAGCAUUCAUUCUUGGGAUAAUCCAAAAGAAUGAGUCUACAUCAAGUAGCGAUGAUUCGUCACCUAUAUUAGCAGAUUGACACAAUUACAACUUAAAAGCUAUUUUUUUACAAGGUAAGGUAAUUGUAUAACUUAUAAGCUAUUGCAGUAACGCCAACCUAACUAUCUGCACAAAUUAAAGUGUAAGGGCCUGACAGCAUCUCGCCAAAAAAAAUCCACCCAAAGAAAAACCUCCCUAGCAUAUUCCAGGUAUUCAUCAUAUCAAGCAUGGAAACAGCUGUAUGAACUUAUUUAUAGCACAGAUGAUCCUUCAAAAGCAUUACCCUUGAAAUCUUAUGAGAUCUUGAGCAAAAUAAAUGCAGAAGCAUAGCUCAUCUAGAUUCACUCUCAUGAAAUCAAGACCAAAACGUUAAGCAUCAGCCCCAUGUUCACUUCACAAGAAACUAUUUACAAGCAAGGAAAAUGGGUGUGUGUUCACAAAUUUGAUAUUAAAGCUAACUUGAUCAAAAUGUUUUCAGAUUUCAAUUUCCUAUCUAUUUUGUACCAAAAAGAAGACUAUGUUGCUCGGAGUUAUGUUUACUUGUAUCCUCUACAGUUUUCUUUUUUGACAAGGUGUCCACUUGAACUUUCUUUUCUGUUUUCCUUUUUGCUUGUUUAGGAUCCCUUUAGAAGCAGGGGAUUUUCCAGUCAAAGACCGGCAGUUAUUACACCAUGCAAGAAGACGUUACAGAGGAGGAGUUAAAAUAGAGGUUUAAAAAUUGAACCUGUUAGGAAAUGGAAACUACAUGACCCUAGCACAUAUAUCCGGUCUCUACUUUGGUACAUUUAACAGUUAGCCGUCACUCUGAAGCUGUUCAGCAGGUAUCAGCCACAAGAAAGGCGAUUUACCAAUAUAAGAAGAAUCCUAGCGAUACAGCUCUAAUUAGCCUUUAGUAGCAUGAAAUGCUAAAAUUGGUCUCGCUGCAGUAAAUAACUAGUGGAACUAUACCAUUAUUAUUUUCAACUCUAAAGCAAUCAAUUCUCUGGUGAAAUGUUAGUCUGAACUUUUAACAUUUAACUGAUCAAUUUCUUACUUAAUGACUAUAACUUGAGACAACUGUUCUCUUUUCCUGAUGCAUAAUAGGCAGUCAAUCUUACAAGUGCAAUCUUUCAUUCAUAGGCAAAAUGAUUAGGUAGUAACCUCCGGACCUAGUUCUACUUAGGCAUUGAGAGGAGUUUAAUGGAUUUUCGACUAAGUAUAACACAUAUAACUAGUAAUGUUCUGGAAAAAAAAGAAGAAGAGUGGAACAACCAGUACAAGCCUACAUGAAGAAACAAGUAAGUGCUUGGAUGUCCAUGCUAUUCUAUUUUUGACUUCUAAAAGCUAGUAGUCUUUAAAGCAUCAUCUAAUCAUAAUCCAAUUAACUUCUAAACCUAUUUCUACCUGCAACGCUGAUGUUUUUGCCAAUUAGCAUUUGAUGGGAAGCUUAUUUUUCGCAAAAUUGACAAGUACACGAGACCCUGCCAAAGCUAUAUAAUAAACAGGUAAUUUAAUCAAACAGACAGCUUUUAUACUAGGACAACAAAACACAAUCACAAAAUUUAUUUCACAAAAGAUCAAUUCAUAUACACAAGCUUGUAAAUAACUAGGCAUGUAACUGUACAUUGCACACAAUGAGAACCUCUUGCAACUAUAUGUGAGAAAUUAGAUAAGCAAUGGACUGAAGAAGGUUGUCAAAAGGGUAGAAACAAGAAAGGAAUGAGCACAAAAAGCUGACUCAACUAGAAGAGGACUAGUAUUCUUAUUGCACACCCAAUUAUAUCAAGGCUCAAUGAGGAUAGAACAAUGAGCAUGUAAAUGAAGGAUAAUCUUUUUUAAAUGAGAAGAGAGAGGAGGGAUUGUUAGAGGAACUACUAGGAAGAAACAAGGGCCUC
This 3737-nucleotide long non-coding RNA is filed under the name Nicotiana tabacum (common tobacco). Its description in RNAcentral is "long non-coding RNA (NTAB_LNC001929)". The record is from RNAcentral. Lineage: Eukaryota; Viridiplantae; Streptophyta; Magnoliopsida; Solanales; Solanaceae.